RNAcentral lists this transfer RNA (69 nucleotides) under Ictidomys tridecemlineatus (thirteen-lined ground squirrel). Its description in RNAcentral is "Spermophilus tridecemlineatus (thirteen-lined ground squirrel) tRNA". It matches the Rfam family "tRNA". Rfam says of the family: Transfer RNA (tRNA) molecules are approximately 80 nucleotides in length. Their secondary structure includes four short double-helical elements and three loops (D, anti-codon, and T loops). Lineage: Eukaryota; Metazoa; Chordata; Mammalia; Rodentia; Sciuridae. The record is from Rfam by way of RNAcentral.
GGGGCUGUAGCUCAGAGGGAGAGCACGUGCCUUGCAAGCGUGAGGCACUGGGUUCGAUCCUCAGCACCA